CUUACCAAGGCAACGAUGCAUAGCCGACCUGAGAGGGUGAUCGGCCACACUGGAACUGAGACACGGUCCAGACUCCUACGGGAGGCAGCAGUAGGGAAUCUUCCGCAAUGGGCGAAAGCCUGACGGAGCAACGCCGCGUGAGUGAUGAAGGUCUUCGGAUCGUAAAACUCUGUUAUUAGGGAAGAACAUAUGUGUAAGUAACUGUGCACAUCUUGACGGUACCUAAUCAGAAAGCCACGGCUAACUACGUGCCAGCAGCCGCGGUAAUACGUAGGUGGCAAGCGUUAUCCGGAAUUAUUGGGCGUAAAGCGCGCGUAGGCGGUUUUUUAAGUCUGAUGUGAAAGCCCACGGCUCAACCGUGGAGGGUCAUUGGAAACUGGAAAACUUGAGUGCAGAAGAGGAAAGUGGAAUUCCAUGUGUAGCGGUGAAAUGCGCAGAGAUAUGGAGGAACACCAGUGGCGAAGGCGACUUUCUGGUCUGUAACUGACGCUGAUGUGCGAAAGCGUGGGGAUCAAACAGGAUUAGAUACCCUGGUAGUCCACGCCGUAAACGAUGAGU
Molecule: ribosomal RNA, 558 nt
Filed under: Staphylococcus aureus
Lineage: Bacteria; Bacillati; Bacillota; Bacilli; Caryophanales; Staphylococcaceae
Description: bacterial SSU rRNA
Rfam family: Bacterial small subunit ribosomal RNA
Source: RNAcentral